AAAACAUCGCUCUUUGUAAUUAAAUAAUAAAGAGUAGGACCUGCCCAGUGAUAAUAUUAAACGGCCGCGGUACUCUGACCGUGCAAAGGUAGCAUAAUCAUUUGCCCUAUAAUUGAGGGCUAGUAUGAAUGGUUUGACAAGAAAGAUCCUGUCUCCAUAAAAAUUUAUAUAAUUUAAUUUUUAGGUGAAGAAGCCUAAAUUCAAUUGAAAGACAAGAAGACCCUAUCGAGCUUUAAAUGAAUAUUUUAAAAAAUGUAAUUUAAAUCAAUUUUGAAAUCAGAUUUUAGUUGGGGCGACUGAGGAACAAAAGAAGCUUCCUUAAUUUAUAAAUACUUAUAAGUUUUGAUCCAAAAUAGUUUGAUUAAUAGAAUUAGUUACCGUAGGGAUAACAGCAUAAUCUUUUUUAAGAGUUCUUAUCGAAAAAAAGGUUUGUGACCUCGAUGUUGGACUAGGAUAUCCUAAAAGAUGCAGAAGUCUUUAAUGGUUGGUCUGUUCGACCACUAAUAUCCUACGUGAU
This 517-nucleotide ribosomal RNA is filed under the name Paludinellassiminea japonica. RNAcentral describes it as "partial 16S ribosomal RNA". It matches the Rfam family "Bacterial large subunit ribosomal RNA", at positions 1810 to 2604 of the family's 2925-position model. The record is from RNAcentral. Lineage: Eukaryota; Metazoa; Mollusca; Gastropoda; Littorinimorpha; Assimineidae.